This is a transfer RNA of Scleroderma citrinum Foug A, 73 nucleotides long. It matches the Rfam family "tRNA". From Rfam's summary of the family: Transfer RNA (tRNA) molecules are approximately 80 nucleotides in length. Their secondary structure includes four short double-helical elements and three loops (D, anti-codon, and T loops). Further hydrogen bonds mediate the characteristic L-shaped molecular structure. tRNAs have two regions of fundamental functional importance: the anti-codon, which is responsible for specific mRNA codon recognition, and the 3' end, to which the tRNAs corresponding amino acid is attached (by aminoacyl-tRNA synthetases). tRNAs cope with the degeneracy of the genetic code in two manners: having more than one tRNA (with a specific anti-codon) for a particular amino acid; and 'wobble' base-pairing, i.e. permitting non-standard base-pairing at the 3rd anti-codon position. The record is from Rfam. NCBI's taxonomy places the organism in Eukaryota, Fungi, Basidiomycota, Agaricomycetes, Boletales, Sclerodermataceae.
GACCAUAUAGCUCAGUGGUUAGAGCACCUGGUAUAGACCUAGGAGGUCUAGGGUUCAAUUCCCUGUCUGGUCA